UGCCCAGCAACUCCUAUCUCUACCUCCUCGUGGAACCGGCCGGAAACUAUGAGCAACCUUAGGGAAGCUUGGGUAACCAACCGCGUAGGCUGACAGGGAAGG
This is a non-coding RNA of Aedes albopictus (Asian tiger mosquito), 102 nucleotides long. The record is from Rfam. NCBI's taxonomy places the organism in Eukaryota, Metazoa, Arthropoda, Insecta, Diptera, Culicidae.